AUAGUCCAUGACAGACGUGCACAGCAUAUGAUGUAUGCAUGAUUUCUGUUGAUUCGCCUGAAUCUCUCGCUCAUGGCGAUCUACAGAAAUCUCAUGAAAAUCUGAGAAAAAGCAGAGCUGCUCGCUCUUUGUCCCACUGCGCCGGUGAACUUCUGUAGCCACCCCAGGCCCGAGGCCUCACAAUACUAGCUGUCCUCAUUAGCAAAUAGUGCCUAGGAAUGAGUUCAACUUUAUUCAUCUACGUUUUAAAGGAUUUUUCUGAAGUUGCAGAGCAUUGUGCUCUCUCGGUACAGUGUUUGAACUUCAUGGCCUGAUGCAUGUGGAAAAAAAAAAUAUUACGCAGUCAGUCCUGUAGGAGCAUCAUCCUCUAUCAUAAUUAUCCAGAUGUGUAAAUGGACACUUACUAAUAUUAAACUGGUUUCAAAAUGCUAA
Molecule: long non-coding RNA, 432 nt
Organism: Carassius gibelio (silver crucian carp)
Lineage: Eukaryota; Metazoa; Chordata; Actinopteri; Cypriniformes; Cyprinidae
Exons: 2
Source: RefSeq, a predicted model, not a curated record